RNAcentral lists this ribosomal RNA (326 nucleotides) under uncultured eukaryote. RNAcentral's name for it is "partial 18S ribosomal RNA". It matches the Rfam family "Eukaryotic small subunit ribosomal RNA", at positions 1470 to 1796 of the family's 1831-position model. The record is from RNAcentral.
CCCUUAGAUGUCCUGGGCUGCACGCGCGCUACACUGAUGCAUUCAACAAGCCUAGCCUUGACCGAGAGGUCCGGGUAAUCUUUGAAACUGCAUCGUGAUGGGGCUAGAUUAUUGCAAUUAUUAAUCUUCAACGAGGAAUGCCUAGUAAGCGUGAUUCAUCAAAUCGCGUUGAUUACGUCCCUGCCCUUUGUACACACCGCCCGUCGCUCCUACCGAUUGAAUGUGUUGGUGAGGAGCUCGGAUUGGCAGCAGUUGGUGGUUCGCCACCGGCUAUUGCUGAGAAGUCCUCCAAACCGCCCCAUUUAGAGGAAGGAGAAGUCGUAACA